This 254-nucleotide ribosomal RNA is filed under the name uncultured bacterium. RNAcentral describes it as "partial 16S ribosomal RNA". It matches the Rfam family "Bacterial small subunit ribosomal RNA", at positions 524 to 776 of the family's 1533-position model. The record is from RNAcentral.
UACAGAGGGUGCGAGCGUUAAUCGGAAUUACUGGGCGUAAAGCGUGCGUAGACGGUCAUGUAAGUCGGAUGUGAAAGCCCCGGGCUCAACCUGGGAAUUGCAUUCGAGACUGCAAGGCUUGGGUGCGGAAGAGGGAAGCGGAAUUUCCGGUGUAGCGGUGAAAUGACGUAGAUAUCGGAAGGAACACCAGUGGCGAAAGCGGCUUCCUGGUCCGACACCGACGUUCAGGCACGAAAGCGUGGGGAGCAAACAGG